UGGGGAAUAUUGGACAAUGGGCGGAAGCCUGAUCCAGCAACGCCGCGUGAGGGAUGACGGCCUUCGGGUUGUAAACCUCUUUCAGCACAGGCGAAGCUGCCGCUACGUGUGGUGGUGGUGACGGUAUGUGCAGAAGAAGCACCGGCCAACUACGUGCCAGCAGCCGCGGUAAUACGUAGGGUGCGAGCGUUGUCCGGAAUUAUUGGGCGUAAAGGGCUCGUAGGCGGUUUGUCGCGUCGGGAGUGAAAUCCACUGGCUUAACUGGUGGCUUGCUUUCGAUACGGGCAGACUGGAGGCAUGCAGGGGAGAACGGAAUUCCUGGUGUAGCGGUGAAAUGCGCAGAUAUCAGGAGGAACACCGGUGGCGAAGGCGGUUCUCUGGGCAUGUCCUGACGCUGAGGAGCGAAAGUGUGGGGAGCGAACA
This 423-nucleotide ribosomal RNA is filed under the name uncultured Nocardioides sp. RNAcentral describes it as "bacterial SSU rRNA". It matches the Rfam family "Bacterial small subunit ribosomal RNA", at positions 355 to 774 of the family's 1533-position model. Lineage: Bacteria; Bacillati; Actinomycetota; Actinomycetes; Propionibacteriales; Nocardioidaceae. The record is from RNAcentral.